CGGACGGGUGAGUAACACGUGGAUAACCUACCUAUAAGACUGGGAUAACUCCGGGAAACCGGGGCUAAUACCGGAUAAUAUUUUGAACCGCAUGGUUCGAAAUUGAAAGGCGGCUUCGGCUGUCACUUAUGGAUGGACCCGCGUCGCAUUAGCUAGUUGGUGAGGUAACGGCUCACCAAGGCAACGAUGCGUAGCCGACCUGAGAGGGUGAUCGGCCACACUGGGACUGAGACACGGCCCAG
RNAcentral lists this ribosomal RNA (242 nucleotides) under uncultured Bacillus sp. Its description in RNAcentral is "partial 16S ribosomal RNA". It matches the Rfam family "Bacterial small subunit ribosomal RNA", at positions 99 to 334 of the family's 1533-position model. Lineage: Bacteria; Bacillati; Bacillota; Bacilli; Caryophanales; Bacillaceae. The record is from RNAcentral.